Lineus longissimus is the source of this 246-nucleotide long non-coding RNA. RefSeq lists it as uncharacterized. The transcript has 3 exons. Lineage: Eukaryota; Metazoa; Nemertea; Pilidiophora; Heteronemertea; Lineidae. The record is from RefSeq and is a predicted model, not a curated record.
CCGGCUGAUGUGAUGCUUUAGUUGAUUCGAGAGGCUACAUGUAUAUAGGCCCAGUACGUCGACAUCAUUGAUCCGGCAGUGAACAAGAUAAGUGGUUCAGCCUCCAAGAUGUGUCACCAGAAAUGCAACCGACAUUAUAGACAGGCGUGAUUACUACUCUGAUUUUGGAUUGAUGGUAUACUCGUCUUCAAAGUGGACCUGACUAGGAAUGAUGAUGGUGACUUCCCUCCUCAGAAAAAAGCUCGG